GCACUACUGAGGAGUCCCACAAUAGGACGAAACGGCCGUCCAAUGC
Non-coding RNA from Schistosoma mansoni, 46 nucleotides. Lineage: Eukaryota; Metazoa; Platyhelminthes; Trematoda; Strigeidida; Schistosomatidae. The record is from Rfam.